CUCAACAUCUCAGAUCCAAAUUUCUUCUUCCCACAAACUUCACAAUCACGUUCUCACUUCUCUCAAGAACCCUAAUUUCGUAUUUCCCAAUUUCUUCUUCCUUUUUCAAUCUAAGAACCCUAAUUUCGUAUUCUCCAAUUUCUCGAUGAAACCAUUUAGCUAGCAAUUCAACUCAACAAUCAGUUCAACAACACAGCACCACAACCUUCUAUUCGGAUUCAGAUCGAGCAACAUCGGAUCCGCAUCAUUCACACGAUUCAACGCGCAUUCCACGCUCAACCCACACAAUUUCUGCCCUCUGCAGCUUCCUUCGAUUGCUCCAACAACACUACUGCACGCGACGAAUUCGACCUACAAUCACACGGUUCUUUAACUUGAAGAUGAGCAAUGAUGAGAAUGGCAUGCAAAGAAGAGGUCGAAAGGUGAAGAAAUUGAGUGACUCAAAUCAGUUGGAAUUCUCUUGUAGCUUAAGGACUUUGAUUUUAUGCAACUCGAAUACAACUUGUUUCAACUUGGAAUAUGUAGCUAGUAGUCUAGUACUGUAUGUAAUCUUGAAUUUGAAUCUUGUUUCACUUAGAAAUUCUCUUUUGUAAUUCAAGAACUUGAUGUAAUUGAAAUCGAAAGGUUUGUAAUUGAAAUCUUGUAUCACUUUUUCUAAACUUAUUAGCAUUAAUUAUGUCAUUUCAGACUA
This is a long non-coding RNA of Vicia villosa (hairy vetch), 691 nucleotides long. RefSeq lists it as uncharacterized. Lineage: Eukaryota; Viridiplantae; Streptophyta; Magnoliopsida; Fabales; Fabaceae. The transcript is spliced from 2 exons. The record is from RefSeq and is a predicted model, not a curated record.